CCACUUACCUGGCAGGGGAGAUACCAUGAUCACAAAGGUGGUUUUCCCAGGGUGAGGCUCAUCCUUUGCACUGUGGGUGUGCUGACCCCUGCAAUUUCCCCAAAUGCGGGAAACUCGACUGCAUAAUUUGUCAUAGUGGGGGACAGUGUUUGCGCUCUCUCCUG
RNAcentral lists this small nuclear RNA (164 nucleotides) under Chelonia mydas (Green sea turtle). RNAcentral's name for it is "U1 spliceosomal RNA". It matches the Rfam family "U1 spliceosomal RNA". Rfam says of the family: U1 is a small nuclear RNA (snRNA) component of the spliceosome (involved in pre-mRNA splicing). Its 5' end forms complementary base pairs with the 5' splice junction, thus defining the 5' donor site of an intron. The record is from Rfam by way of RNAcentral. Lineage: Eukaryota; Metazoa; Chordata; Testudines; Cheloniidae.